Molecule: non-coding RNA, 29 nt
Filed under: Mus musculus (house mouse)
Lineage: Eukaryota; Metazoa; Chordata; Mammalia; Rodentia; Muridae
Source: RNAcentral
UCCCUAAGAGCUGGACCUAUUGUCUGGGA